Nymphaea colorata (pocket water lily) is the source of this 700-nucleotide long non-coding RNA. RefSeq lists it as uncharacterized. The transcript has 4 exons. The record is from RefSeq and is a predicted model, not a curated record. Lineage: Eukaryota; Viridiplantae; Streptophyta; Magnoliopsida; Nymphaeales; Nymphaeaceae.
CAUGGUAUUUCCCUUCUCCCCGUUGACGGUCGACCGUCGUUCUCCUGAAUCUUCUCUACGGCCCUGCCUCUGCGAGUUUGCGACUGCCUUCUCCGGUCCUCCUCGGCGCCCAUUGGCUGUGUGACUACCGAGUGCCGACUGCCGCCUUGCUGUCAUUGCCACACCAUCAUCGCCGCUGCCGUCAAGCAGAUCAGUUCACCCCAUGAAGUUGAGGUAUCUUGCCCUGGAUUGAGGGCCGCCGGCCCCUCUCUCCAUCUAGCAGCAGUUGAAAGAAAAGAGAGAAGAAGACCAUCCAUGUCCUCAACUGGGAGAAAGAGAGAAGAAGACCGCCCAUUUGGUUCAUGGAGCUGUGGCAAGGGGCAUUUGAUUCGGUUUUGAUGAUAGGGAGGAAUCAUCUUGUGACGAAUGGCAAAUGAUAAUUCGAUGCAUAAUUCAUAUUUCAUUGUGGAUAACUAAAGAAAUGAAGUCAUAAUUAAAGUUUUCAUGAAAGUCAAAGUUUAAAUGUGUUUUAUUAAAUUAUGAUGUAAUUUUGCUGAUGGUUGAGGAACAAAAGUUAAUUAAUAUGUCAUUGUUAGUCUUGUGGAUUGCACUUUGUCUAAUAUUUUUACGUUGGGGAGGUCAUACUUGAUUAAAAUUUUGUAUGUUUCCUUUUUUUUUAAUGGUGUAUCAAAUGAAGACCAUAUCUUUUGCUCAUUUCAUA